CGGUCUGAAGUAUACCAUUGCCAGGACGGCUCCACUAUGAUCAUCGCAAGACACAGUCGUGCAGUGCGUUGAUUCACUCGUGAAGAGGGCGUUUACCACCACAUUGCCUCGUUGCUUCUGCUAAGAUCAUCUACCUGGAGCUUGUGUUUGUCUGGAUGGUUUCAUCGUGAGCAUCGAAGUUAUCAUUGGUGGAUUUAAGACGUGUUGUGGUGAUGAAGAUGUGCUGUUGGACCCCACCGACCUACAGCUGCUGAUCAGCUUCGGCUUAGACUCUAUCCUUUUCUGAACGGUUUCAGCAUGACUGUUUCAUGGUCGAGUGGGGCAUUUGGGAUUAGGCUUCUCGAGAUAACAGCUGUUGCCACCAGAAUGCCUUGCUGCUGCUUCUCAGAAGUGGGCGUGGCCUUCUAUAUCUGCGAGUUCGACUGGCACUUUACCCUUCUCUGAAAGGUUCCAGGAGGAUCAUUUCACAGUCCAGUGGAACCAUUUAGUAUCACAUUUCUCGAGGAAGGUGCUGUUGCCACAAUAAUGCCUUGCCGGGGCUUCUCAGGUGAGCCUUCGUUUAAAAAAUAUUUUG
This 574-nucleotide long non-coding RNA is filed under the name Dermacentor andersoni. RNAcentral's name for it is "uncharacterized LOC126539127". Lineage: Eukaryota; Metazoa; Arthropoda; Arachnida; Ixodida; Ixodidae. The record is from RNAcentral.